This 501-nucleotide ribosomal RNA is filed under the name uncultured bacterium. RNAcentral's name for it is "partial 16S ribosomal RNA". It matches the Rfam family "Bacterial small subunit ribosomal RNA", at positions 30 to 523 of the family's 1533-position model. The record is from RNAcentral.
AUUGAACGCUGGCGGCAUGCCUUACACAUGCAAGUCGAACGGCAGCACGGGUGCUUGCACCUGGUGGCGAGUGGCGAACGGGUGAGUAAUACAUCGGAACGUACCUUAUCGUGGGGGAUAACGCAGCGAAAGCUGUGCUAAUACCGCAUACGCCCUGAGGGGGAAAGCGGCGGAUCGAAAGACCUCGCGCGAUUAGAGCGGCCGAUGCCUGAUUCGCUUGUUGGUGGGGUAAAAGCCCACCAAGGCGACGAUCAGUAGCUGGUCUGAGAGGACGAUCAGCCACACUGGGACUGAGACACGGCCCAGACUCCUACGGGAGGCAGCAGUGGGGAAUUUUGGACAAUGGGGGCAACCCUGAUCCAGCAAUGCCGCGUGAGUGAAGAAGGCCUUCGGGUUGUAAAGCUCUUUUGUCAGGGAAGAAACACCGGCUCUAACACAGUCCGGGAAUGACGGUACCUGAAGAAUAAGCACCGGCUAACUACGUGCCAGCAGCCGCCGUAA